AGGAAUGCUGACAAACUGAGACCUACAGUGCAGUGUGUUAGCUCAGCAAGCCACAGAACUGUACUCUCGUCCUUCAGGAGGAAAGAGCUCACAGAAAUCUGCAAAAACAUUUGUGCAUGGAGAGUAGCUGAGGAUGAUGAUGAUGUAUCUCCAAGAGGACUGAAGUCUAUUUAAGUGGUUUAGAAGCCUGGCCAUCAUCUGAAAUGGAAACCGAAAGAGGGUUUCAAAUGCUGCAAAUGUUUCUCCUUCACAGAGGCUAGCGAAG
This is a long non-coding RNA of Trachemys scripta elegans, 265 nucleotides long. RefSeq lists it as uncharacterized. The record is from RefSeq and is a predicted model, not a curated record. NCBI's taxonomy places the organism in Eukaryota, Metazoa, Chordata, Testudines, Emydidae. The transcript has 3 exons.